GAGUUUGAUCGUGGCUCAGGAUGAACGCUGGCGGCGUGCCUAACACAUGCAAGUCGAACGGAUCCAUAUUGAAACCUAGUGAUGUAUGGAUUAGUGGCGGACGGGUGAGUAACGCGUGGAUAACCUGCCGUAUACAGGGGAUAACACUUAGAAAUAGGUGCUAAUACCGCAUAAGCGCACGGCUCCGCAUGGAACAGUGUGAAAAACUCCGGUGGUAUACGAUGGAUCCGCGUCUGAUUAGCCAGUUGGCGGGGUAACGGCCCACCAAAGCGACGAUCAGUAGCCGGCCUGAGAGGGUGAACGGCCACAUUGGGACUGAGACACGGCCCAAACUCCUACGGGAGGCAGCAGUGGGGAAUAUUGCACAAUGGGGGAAACCCUGAUGCAGCGACGCCGCGUGAGUGAAGAAGUAUUUCGGUACGUAAAGCUCUAUCAGCAGGGAAGAAAAACCGGCCUUAGGGCCGCCAGACGGUACCUGACUAAGAAGCCCCGGCUAACUACGUGCCAGCAGCCGCGGUAAC
Molecule: ribosomal RNA, 521 nt
Filed under: uncultured microorganism
Description: bacterial SSU rRNA
Rfam family: Bacterial small subunit ribosomal RNA
Source: RNAcentral